This 489-nucleotide ribosomal RNA is filed under the name bacterium enrichment culture clone ALO1_GLFRUDD03GFK8H. RNAcentral describes it as "bacterial SSU rRNA". It matches the Rfam family "Bacterial small subunit ribosomal RNA", at positions 9 to 492 of the family's 1533-position model. The record is from RNAcentral.
GAGUUUGAUCAUGGCUCAGAUUGAACGCUGGCGGCAGGCCUAACACAUGCAAGUCGAGCGGAUGACGGGAGCUUGCUCCUUGAUUCAGCGGCGGACGGGUGAGUAAUGCCUAGGAAUCUGCCUGGUAGUGGGGGGACAACGUUUCGAAAGGAACGCUAAUACCGCAUACGUCCUACGGGAGAAAGCAGGGGACCUUCGGGCCUUGCGCUAUCAGAUGAGCCUAGGUCGGAUUAGCUAGUUGUGGGGUAAUGGCUCACCAAGGCGACGAUCCGUAACUGGUCUGAGAGGAUGAUCAGUCACACUGGAACUGAGACACGGUCCAGACUCCUACGGGAGGCAGCAGUGGGGAAUAUUGGACAAUGGGCGAAAGCCUGAUCCAGCCAUGCCGCGUGUGUAGAAGAAGGUCUUCGGAUUGUAAAAGCACUUUAAGUUGGGAGGAAGGGCAGUAAGUUAAUACCUUGCUGUUUUGACGUUACGACAGAAUAAGCA